RNAcentral lists this unclassified non-coding RNA (174 nucleotides) under fungal sp. RNAcentral describes it as "partial internal transcribed spacer region". The stretch from base 1 to 46 matches the Rfam family "Eukaryotic small subunit ribosomal RNA", at positions 1786 to 1831 of the family's 1831-position model. The record is from RNAcentral. Lineage: Eukaryota; Fungi.
AAGUCGUAACAAGGUUUCCGUAGGUGAACCUGCGGAAGGAUCAUUAAUAGUGUUCGUGGCUUUUUUUUUAACAAGCCAUGAAUCCAAACCUAUUUUAUUUCGCUCCUGACUAUUAGACUGAAUAAAAUUAUUUUGAACCAAAUACAACUUUCAACAACGGAUCUCUUGGCUCUC